GUAGCUGUAAAAACUGUAGCUGUAUCAACCACAAGAGUAGACUGAGACUCAUGAUCAUCAACUGAUUCAGCAAGAAACUGACCUAAACAGGCUUGUUCACAAAGGACAUAGUGAAGCUAGUCCAGGCUUUUAGAUAUUGCAACUGACAAGAAAAGAACACUGAAAUAGCACUAAAUAAUGAAAUGAUUAUGCUUUCUAGUGUUGCUGUGGUGGCCCACUGUGAUUGGCACCAAAGUCUUACCACCUCGAGCUCCUCCUUUAUUUAGUCUCUCUUCAUCACCUUGUUAUCAGCCUGCCAUUUAUGCAUUCAUAAUGAUAAGAUUUUCAUAAAAAAUUGAAAUUAUAAUUGCAACAACUGUUAUUAACUAUCAAUUAACCAUAGAAUAACUAUUAA
Amphimedon queenslandica is the source of this 394-nucleotide long non-coding RNA. RefSeq lists it as uncharacterized. Lineage: Eukaryota; Metazoa; Porifera; Demospongiae; Haplosclerida; Niphatidae. The transcript is spliced from 2 exons. The record is from RefSeq and is a predicted model, not a curated record.